RNAcentral lists this unclassified non-coding RNA (303 nucleotides) under uncultured fungus. RNAcentral's name for it is "partial contains 5.8S ribosomal RNA, internal transcribed spacer 2, and large subunit ribosomal RNA". The record is from RNAcentral. Lineage: Eukaryota; Fungi. RNAcentral also lists the same sequence under 1 other name.
AACGCACCCUGCACUCUUGGGUAUUCCUGAGAGUAUGUCUGUUUGAGUGUCGUGAAUCUCUCAAAACCCCCUUUUGUUUAAUUACGAAAGAGUUUCGGGCUUUGGAUGAUGACUGUUCGCCGUUUCUAAUGGCUCGGUCGAAAUAUAAGAGCUGAAGCUAACAAUUGUGUUAUUUCAGACUUGCAAUUUGGCGUGAUAAUUAUUUCGCCAAAGAACUCGUUUGUUAACAAUCGUUAAGCGGGCUUAUAAACCACAUCUAUAACAUUAGACCUCAAAUCAGGCAGGACUACCCGCUGAACUUAA